Molecule: ribosomal RNA, 283 nt
Filed under: uncultured bacterium
Lineage: Bacteria
Description: partial 16S ribosomal RNA
Rfam family: Bacterial small subunit ribosomal RNA
Source: RNAcentral
AACCUUCCUACGAGUGGGGAAUAGCCCAGAGAAAUUUGGAUUAAUACCCCGUAACAUAACGAUGUGGCAUCACACUGUUAUUAUAGCUUCGGCGCUUGUUGAUGGGUGUGCGGCUGAUUAGGUAGUUGGCGGGGUAACGGCCCACCAAGCCUUCGAUCAGUAGCUGAUGUGAGAGCAUGAUCAGCCACACGGGCACUGAGACACGGGCCCGACUCCUACGGGAGGCAGCAGUAAGGAAUAUUGGACAAUGGGCGCAAGCCUGAUCCAGCCAUGCCGCGUGAAG